This 1613-nucleotide long non-coding RNA is filed under the name Gallus gallus (chicken). RNAcentral describes it as "lncRNA (ENSGALG00010028792.1)". Lineage: Eukaryota; Metazoa; Chordata; Aves; Galliformes; Phasianidae. The record is from RNAcentral.
CCUAAUGUGAGCAGCCGUGGGGCAGCAGUGCCAGGGGCUGCUGGAGGGGGGGGGGGUACAGCCCUGCCCUCAUUGCCAGGGAGGUCUGCGUUUCACAACGCGAUGCUCCGGUGCACGUAACAGCCAGGGAAGGUCUGGGGUGUUUCACAACGUUGGGGGACCAUCCGCUCGGUUGCAGAAUUUGGUAGCGAUUUCAGGAAACGGAGCUUUGGCCAUUGUAAAAUCCUGAGGUGGGGUGGGGAGAGGAUGGGCUGAGGGUACGGUGUGGGCUGGGGGGCUCAGGGUUAGGGUUAGGGGCUCAGGGGUAGGGUUAGGGGCUCAGGGGUAGGGUUAGGGGCUCAGGGGUAGGGUUAGGGGCUCAGGGGUAGGGUUAGGGCCAGUGGGUUCAGGGUCAGGGUUUGGGUCAAGGUUAGGGUUAGGGACUUGGGGUUAGGGUUAGGGCCAGGGAGUUCAGGGUUAGGGUCAAGGUUAGGGUUAGGGCCAGGGGGCUCAGGGUUAGCAUUAGGGUUAGGUCCAGGAGGUUCAGGAUCAGGGUUAGGGUCAAGGUUAGGGUUACGGGGCUCAGGGUUAGGGCCAGGGGGUUCAGGGUUAAGGUUAAGGUUAGGGUUAGGGUUGGGGCUGAGGGGCUCAGGGUUAGAGUUAAGGCUCGGAUUACUGUUAGGGUUAGGGUUGGGGCUGGAGAGCUCAGGAUUAUGGUUAAGGUUAGGAUUACUGUUAGGGUUUGGGCUAAGGUUAGGGUUAGGAUUAGGAUUAGGGCCAGGGGGCUCAGGGUUAGGGUUAAGGUUAGGGUUAGGGCCAGGGGGCUCAGGAUUAGGGCUAAGGUUAGGGUUAGGGCCAGGGGGCUCAGGGUUAGGGUUAAGGUUAGGGUUAGGGCCAGGGGGCUCAGGGUUAGGGUUAAGGUUAGGAUUAGGGUUUGGACCAAGGGGCUCAGGGCAGCAGCUGGAUGCUCGGCUGUGCCCACCAGGCAGCAGCAAUGAUCCCCCCAAGCAUCUUCUGUCAUUCAGUCACUCAAUGCAGCCCUUAGCAUGAGCCCAGGUACCACUCUGGGGUCUCAGGGAUGUGAUGGCACAUCAUCCCAUCGGGCUCAGCAGGUCUCUCUGUGCAGCAGAGCCUCCCAGCCCGGUCGCACCCAUGCACUGUGCUAUGGUGAGCUGCAAUCCCAGCCCUGAGGCUGCAGCGUUGGGCAAGCAUUGCUGUGGGGCAGGGAGUGGGAGAGGGCAGUGAAUAGCACAGAGGAUCUGGUUCAGGGCAAGCAGGACCAAUAGUGACUGCAGGAGCUGAGCCCUGGUCAGGCAACCCAUGAUUGGUAGUGUUUGCUCAAGUGCUUUCCAAAUACAUUUACGAGCAGAAGAGAAGGGCUUGCAGUCAGCAGAGGACAAGGUGGGGUUCGUGCUGCUGCGUUUCGUGGAAGGUUUAGCACGAGAUUGGGAAGGAAGUAGGUCCUGGUUGCUAGAUGUGGUUUUAGGGUGGUGAAAUCAGGGGGAUGCACUGAGCAAGGCAGAUCUUUAAGGACCCUUCCAACUCAGGACGUUCUACAGACCCUGAGCAGGAAGGGGUCUGCAGUGGGGGCCGGGUCUGUCUGAGAUGCCCACAGCUGCAGCUGCUCAUUGCUG